UGAGGGGUUGGCGCGGGCAAGCGCCUCGCCAACCUGGUCAGGACCGGAAGGUAGCAGCCACAACGAGCCCCGCUUGGGUCGAUGUCCAACCUCUCACCC
Molecule: signal recognition particle RNA, 99 nt
Filed under: Nioella sp.
Lineage: Bacteria; Pseudomonadati; Pseudomonadota; Alphaproteobacteria; Rhodobacterales; Paracoccaceae
Also listed under: 1 other name
Description: signal recognition particle sRNA small type
Rfam family: Bacterial small signal recognition particle RNA
About the family: The signal recognition particle (SRP) is a universally conserved ribonucleoprotein involved in the co-translational targeting of proteins to membranes. Archaeal SRP consists of a 7S RNA and homologues of the eukaryotic SRP19 and SRP54 proteins. In most bacteria, the SRP consists of a 4.5S RNA and the Ffh protein (a homologue of the eukaryotic SRP54 protein).
Source: RNAcentral